ACUGCAGGUAGGAACUGUCCUGAAGACAGGCCUCUUCUGAGGGCGCAGGAGCGGGAGGAGACUGCCUUAUUAAACAAGCUCUCACUUUCGUGCUCUGAGAUUUUCGUGGGGCCCGUGCGAAUCGGCACACAGCUCCACUUCCCGCGGGAAAGCCCUACGGAGGCCUGGCGGGGGACCACCAGCCCAGCUGGAGCCAAGCAAUGCCCAGCAGCAGAUGGCGCUGUCUCUGAAGACUCCUCUGAGGUGUCAUCAGG
Molecule: long non-coding RNA, 254 nt
Filed under: Heterocephalus glaber (naked mole-rat)
Lineage: Eukaryota; Metazoa; Chordata; Mammalia; Rodentia; Bathyergidae
Description: lncRNA (ENSHGLG00100033845.1)
Source: RNAcentral